Molecule: transfer RNA, 85 nt
Filed under: Felis catus (domestic cat)
Lineage: Eukaryota; Metazoa; Chordata; Mammalia; Carnivora; Felidae
Also listed under: 3 other names
Rfam family: tRNA
About the family: Transfer RNA (tRNA) molecules are approximately 80 nucleotides in length. Their secondary structure includes four short double-helical elements and three loops (D, anti-codon, and T loops). Further hydrogen bonds mediate the characteristic L-shaped molecular structure. tRNAs have two regions of fundamental functional importance: the anti-codon, which is responsible for specific mRNA codon recognition, and the 3' end, to which the tRNAs corresponding amino acid is attached (by aminoacyl-tRNA synthetases). tRNAs cope with the degeneracy of the genetic code in two manners: having more than one tRNA (with a specific anti-codon) for a particular amino acid; and 'wobble' base-pairing, i.e. permitting non-standard base-pairing at the 3rd anti-codon position.
Source: Rfam by way of RNAcentral
ACCUGGGUGGCUCAGUUGGUUGAGCAUCUGACUUCUGCUCAGGUCACAAUCUCACGAUUUGUGGGUUCGAGCCCCAUGUCAGGCU